Molecule: ribosomal RNA, 253 nt
Filed under: uncultured bacterium
Lineage: Bacteria
Description: partial 16S ribosomal RNA
Rfam family: Bacterial small subunit ribosomal RNA
Source: RNAcentral
UACGGAGGGUGCAAGCGUUAUCCGGAUUCACUGGGUUUAAAGGGUGCGUAGGCGGGCAGGUAAGUCCGGGGUGAAAUCUCUGAGCUUAACUCAGAAACUGCCAUGGAUACUAUUUGUCUUGAAUGUUGUGGAGGUAAGCGGAAUAUGUCAUGUAGCGGUGAAAUGCUUAGAUAUGACAUAGAACACCAAUUGCGAAGGCAGCUUACUACACAAAUAUUGACGCUGAGGCACGAAAGCGUGGGGAUCAAACAGG